RNAcentral lists this long non-coding RNA (347 nucleotides) under Homo sapiens (human). RNAcentral's name for it is "HSALNT0385495". The record is from RNAcentral. Lineage: Eukaryota; Metazoa; Chordata; Mammalia; Primates; Hominidae.
CAACAUCAAAUGGAAACAAAUGGAAUCAUCAUCGAAUGGAAUCGAAUGGAAUCAUCAUCAAAUGGAAUCGAAUGGAAUCAUCCAAUAUAAUAGAAUUGAAUCACCAUCGAACGGAAUCGAAUAGAAUCAUCGAAUGAACUCAAAUGGAAUCAUCAUCGAAUGGAAUCAAAUUGUCAAUGAACGGAAUUGAAUGGAAUCAUAGAAUGGAAUCCAAUGUAAUCAUCAUUGAAUUGAACCCAAUGGAAUCAUUAAAUGGACUCGAAUGGAAUCAUCGAAUGGACUCGAAUGGAAUCAUCAUCGAAUGGAAUAGAAUGGAAUCAUUGAAUGGAAUCGAAUGGAAUCAUCAU